GAAGAGAACAGAAAAGGGACUCCGAGGUGCUGCUGACUCUCCAGUUUGCGUCUUUGCACUGUGUUGGAGGAAAUUGGUGUAUUCAAACUUUGUCUACUGGAAUCAGUUUGAUAGAGCAUUGAGCAGCAAUCGUAUUUUGCUUAAGGAAGCUCACUGCAUACAGUUGUUGCCAAGGCAUAACAGCAGAUGUUAUUUGAUGAACACACUGGAGACAAGACAUGAGUCUUUGAGUAUGGCGUCGGAGAGGGGCAGCCCUAGCAAUUCCUGACCUGUACAUUUCCACGUCGGUGUCACGUGAUCACAACAUCUAUGGGACCCCAGAAGUACUGAGAUAGAGUUGCUUUGUCCUAAAAAAUUUCUCAGACGGAUGGUAAAUCGUCAAAGGUUUUAGCUACCUGGGAGAGAAAACCAGUUGGAAUCACAGUAGAAACUGUGAAUUUUAAAGUAUCAGUAAAGAAUGGAGCUUCUGACUCCCAGGCCGACUAUGUACCAGGCAGCGUGCUAGAGCAUCCCAAGCCAGGAAACAAGAGCGCUCUUAUAAGGGGUAGAGUACCACAUGAUAGCCUCAAAGGUCACGAUUGAAGCAUUUUCUGAUUGAGUAGAAGGGAGAACACUGAAAUGAUAAGUCUGUGAGAAACAAUUUUUUGAUGAAUCAAAAUCUAAUGUGAAACUGGCCCCAAACAUUGAUGCUCAAGCAGACAGACGUAAUAUAUGCAGAUUAUUAGGGGGAAUUUU
Long non-coding RNA from Balaenoptera acutorostrata (minke whale), 735 nucleotides. RefSeq lists it as uncharacterized. NCBI's taxonomy places the organism in Eukaryota, Metazoa, Chordata, Mammalia, Artiodactyla, Balaenopteridae. The record is from RefSeq and is a predicted model, not a curated record. The transcript has 7 exons.